AUGUUAUCAGUAAUAAUUAGGAAAUCCCCAUUGGUAGACCUUUUGUGAAAGAUUGGGAAACCAAGGUAUUUCCCAAAAAAUCGUUAGGGCCAACGUUAAGGAGGCUAGAGCACAUUGCAAAGUUUUCAAUGGAGCAAUUCUUUAUAAAGAUCACCUAAGAUUUUUCAAGAUUAAUUUUUUGGCCAGAGAAGAUGUUGAAGCUAUUCAAUGUAUCAAUGAUGGUAAUGCAG
Molecule: unclassified non-coding RNA, 230 nt
Filed under: Hevea brasiliensis (rubber tree)
Lineage: Eukaryota; Viridiplantae; Streptophyta; Magnoliopsida; Malpighiales; Euphorbiaceae
Source: RNAcentral